GAUGAACGCUGGCGGCGUGCUUAACACAUGCAAGUCGAACGGAAAGGCCCUGCUUUUGCUGGUUUCUCGUGUGGCGAACGGGUGAGUAACACGUGUGUAACCUGCCCUUGUCUUUGGGAUAACUUCACGGAACUCCGGCUAAUACCGCAGAUGAUCUCCUGCUCCAUGUUGGGGGUUGGUAAGUUACGGCUGUUGUGGAUCGUUUCGCGGCUUAUGCGCUAGUUGGUGUGGUAGUGGCGUACCAAGGCUUUGACGGGUAGCCGGCCUGAGAGGGUGGCCGGCCACAAUGCGCCUGAGAUACGCACCAGACUGCUACGGGCGGCAGUAGUGGGGAAUCUUGCAGAACGGGCGGAAGCCAGAUGCAGCAACGCCGGGUGCGGGAUGACGGCCUUCGGGUUGUAAACCGCUUUCGCCUGUGACGAAGCGUGCGUGACGGUAAUGGGUAAAGAAGCACCGGCUAACUACGUG
This 468-nucleotide ribosomal RNA is filed under the name uncultured bacterium. Its description in RNAcentral is "partial 16S ribosomal RNA". It matches the Rfam family "Bacterial small subunit ribosomal RNA", at positions 28 to 507 of the family's 1533-position model. The record is from RNAcentral.